This is a long non-coding RNA of Rosa chinensis, 1283 nucleotides long. RefSeq lists it as uncharacterized. The transcript is spliced from 5 exons. The record is from RefSeq and is a predicted model, not a curated record. Lineage: Eukaryota; Viridiplantae; Streptophyta; Magnoliopsida; Rosales; Rosaceae.
AGUUUGGCAUUGCUUCCUAAGGUGCUUCUGGAGCUGCUUCUGCUUUUAGGCCAAGAGCAUGGUGUUUGGUAAAAUAUCUAAAAGCAGCUUUUAGUUGAAAUGGCUUCUCCGUAAAGCCGAAAUUGAGAAGCUACAAUUUGUAGCUUUGAGGAAUUGCUUUGGGAAAACACGGAGGAAGAACAGUGCAUAACUUAAUGAAAUUUUACCUUCCUGCCAAUUCUGUCCUCCUCCUUUUCUGAAAAUUACAUCGAAACAAAAGAUAGGGAUUUCUCCAUCGCGAGGUAGUCACUCUCUUUGCCGUCAUUAUCAUUAUCAUUCCACAUCUCCUCCUGCCUCUUCUUCAAUUCGUGGAUUCUCGCCGGCUAGCUUCCUUCCUCUGAAGAUAGAAUCAAACGGAAUCCAUCUUCACACCAUCGCCAUCGCCAUCGCCUCUCUUCAGUCUGGGUUCAAAUUUCAAAACGACGAAGUCGCCAUCGCCAUUGUCCUCUCUGGCUCUCCUCUGUCCUCUCUGGCUCUCUCCCUCUCCCAGGCUCCAGCACGGUCACACAUCGACUGAGCAAUUUGCUCUCUUCGACUCUUCGGUCUCUUCCUGAAGCCGUCAAGCAACAAAGCAGAUUCUGGGUUUGACUCUUCUCUCUCAGUCAGUCGCUGAUUCUUCAAGGCUUAAGCUCGGGCUAGGAUUAUCUUUGGAUUAAAUGCCCUCCCGGGACGAACUUUACAGAGUGAUGCCUCUGCAACUGGAUCUUGGAACUUUACCAAUGCCGAAUCUUUCAUUCGCUACACUGUCAAACACAGCUACUCUAUAGCUUGAUGGGAGCUCGGGAAUGAGCUAUGUGGGCGUGGAAUUGGAACCACAGUAGUAGAAAGUCAGUAUGUCAAUGAUACAGCUUCUGUGCAUAAGAUAGUACAGAAUGUAUACAAGGGUGUUGGACCAAAGCCACUAAUCUUAUCACCUGGAGGGUUCUUUGAUGCACCUUGGUUCAAAGAACUUGCAGAUAAAUCCACCAGUUCAUUAGAUGCGGUCACACACCAUAUAUAUAAUCUAGGGCCAGGAGACCUUGUAAGGGUGGGGUUAAAUUUCUUGAGGAUGGAACAAAAGAGUAGCAAGAGGCACAGGAGCUUCAUGAUCUAUAGCUAUGAAAAAAGUGAAGGGCACAAGACCUUGUGAUUAUAGGUUUGAUCACGCCAUCUAAAGCUAUGAAGAAAAGUGAAGAGCUCAGGUUCUAAAACCCAAGUUUUAUGUAAACAUUGCGCAAAGGUUCAAACUUGCCUCAUGUUGGAGU